RNAcentral lists this ribosomal RNA (496 nucleotides) under uncultured bacterium. RNAcentral describes it as "partial 16S ribosomal RNA". It matches the Rfam family "Bacterial small subunit ribosomal RNA", at positions 28 to 506 of the family's 1533-position model. The record is from RNAcentral.
GAUGAACGCUGGCGGCGUGCCUAAUACAUGCAAGUCGAGCGAACAGACGAGGAGCUUGCUCCUCUGACGUUAGCGGCGGACGGGUGAGUAACACGUGGAUAACCUACCUAUAAGACUGGGAUAACUUCGGGAAACCGGAGCUAAUACCGGAUAAUAUAUUGAACCGCAUGGUUCAAUAGUGAAAGACGGUUUUGCUGUCACUUAUAGAUGGAUCCGCGCCGCAUUAGCUAGUUGGUAAGGUAACGGCUUACCAAGGCAACGAUGCGUAGCCGACCUGAGAGGGGGUACGGCCAACCUGGAAUGGGGACCCGGUCCAACCCCCGAGGGGGGGCAGAAGUGGGGAAUCUUCCGAAAGGGGGGAAAGCCUGACGGAGCAACGCCGGGGGGGUGAUGAAGGGUUUCGGAUCGUAAAACCCUGUUAUUGGGGAAAAAAAAAUGUGAAAGUAACGAUGCAGGUUUUGACGGUACCUAAUCAAAAAGCCACGGCUAACUACGU